GCCGGAGUGGUGGAAUAGGUAGACACCAGGGACUUAAAAUCCCUUGGGUCGUAAGGCCCGUGCCGGUUCAAGUCCGGCCUCCGGCA
Molecule: transfer RNA, 86 nt
Filed under: FCB group bacterium
Lineage: Bacteria; Pseudomonadati
Description: tRNA-Leu
Rfam family: tRNA
About the family: Transfer RNA (tRNA) molecules are approximately 80 nucleotides in length. Their secondary structure includes four short double-helical elements and three loops (D, anti-codon, and T loops).
Source: RNAcentral